RNAcentral lists this long non-coding RNA (249 nucleotides) under Solanum tuberosum (potato). RNAcentral describes it as "long non-coding RNA (STUB_LNC011461)". The record is from RNAcentral. Lineage: Eukaryota; Viridiplantae; Streptophyta; Magnoliopsida; Solanales; Solanaceae.
UCUAGGGGAUCAAAAAACAAAUCAUGACAAUUCUCUAACUCUUGAGAAGUUUAAUAUUUUUGGAAAAAGAUAUUCAGAAGCAUAUAUCUAUAUCAAAAGAGAAAUUGUUAACAAAAACAAAUAAAUUUAGAUUACGAUAAAAAUUAAACUAAUACAAACUUCAACUGGUGUUAUUACAAGUCAUAUAAACUUUUCUUCGUCGAAAAAUACUUAAAUAUUAGAAAAUGGUAAAUCAUUAAAAUAAAAGGG